GACAGAGGGUGCAAGCGUUGUUCGGAAUCAUUGGGCGUAAAGGGUGCGUAGGCGGCGGGGCAAGUCUGAUGUGAAAUCCCGGGGCUCAACCCCGGAACUGCAUUGGAUACUGCCUUGCUAGAGUACUGGAGAGGGAACUGGAAUUUACGGUGUAGCAGUGAAAUGCGUAGAGAUCGUAAGGAAGGCCAGUGGCGAAGGCGAGUUCCUGGACAGUUACUGACGCUGAGGCACGAAGGCCAGGGGAGCAAACGGG
RNAcentral lists this ribosomal RNA (253 nucleotides) under uncultured bacterium. RNAcentral describes it as "partial 16S ribosomal RNA". It matches the Rfam family "Bacterial small subunit ribosomal RNA", at positions 524 to 776 of the family's 1533-position model. The record is from RNAcentral.